UUUAAUAUCAUAUCAUCAAAAAAAUAUUGUGAUGAUUGGGUUUUGGCUAUUUGUAGUGCCCCAAGAAGACUUAACGGUUAUGCCGCAGAGCACUGCGGAAGUGCAUUUUAACUAGGAAGUUCACGCCUCCUUCUAAAGAGUUGGAAGGGACUGUAGCAACAAAUCACGUAGAUAAGAUUACAUUGAUUUAUAUUUCUUGAAGAUACGCUCGUUAUUUAUAAUUAAAAACAUGGAUCGCGCCAAGUGCUCAACGUAAGUGCCGUAAGAGCCGUAAGAGAGCGACAGUCAUUUCGAACUCCGCUAUAUAUACAAUAAGAAGAAACCUACUGGCUGCUGUGUUAGCGGAUCAACAUUUGCAAUCAACAAGUAAAUGUAUGUUUAUUACCAGAGGAGCUUAGAGGAUUUUCAAACAAAUUUUGCAUAUUGUGUACUUCUUGUAAUUGUAAAUAAAGUUUUCAUUACCUGAACAUAGAUAAAAGAAAGCAUGAUAUAAAUUAUAGCGUUGUAAUUCCAUUCCGAGAAAUUAGUAAGGGACAUAAAGCUAUGUAAGUAUUUACAACUACGAUAAACAUGCCACCAUCAAUGACUAGUAAUUCAUACCCAGUUUGCAUCAAACCAAAAAAAGACGUCUUUAGAACGUUCAAUAGACGUCCAAAACGUUCAAAAGACGUCUAAAACGUGUAUAAGACGGUUAAAAGACGUCUUUUUUACGUCCGUGUCCACUGGGUAUGAUGUAAUAAAUGUAAAUCUUAACAAGGCUUAUACAUAAAUUGCAAUUUCUAGUAUGAAAAAUGCUGCUAAAAAGAUACAUACCCAAUUUUCCAAUAAAAUCAAUUUUUGACUGACUACCAAAUUAGCAUAGAUGGUACAUGGCUAAAGAGAGGACACAGCUCUCUUAAUUGAGAUGUUUCCGGAAUCUCAAGAUUUAAUAAAAAGGUUUUGAACUAUCAUGUUAAAUCUAAAUUUUUUAAAAGCUGUACCGUGUGGGAAACCAAAAAAGGUUCAAUAAAGUUUGAAAUUUGGAAAACCAGCCGUGUUUGCCAACACAAUCAUCAUAAAUCUUCUGGUGCGAUGGAGGCUAGUGGAUCAGUUGUCAUACUUUGUUCGUCAGCACAAAAAUAUAAUUUGAGAUUUGAGAACGCAUUAAAUUGAUGAUGGUUAUAUUAAUUCAUUUUUGAAAGUUUUGGAGGCCAAACCUAUUAGGGAAGCAUUGAUUCCAAUUAAGUUUGAAUGUGUGGGCCAUUUUCAGAAAAAUUAGAUAACAAUAAACCAAUUUGUAGAAGAGGAUGAUUAACUGAUAAAACAAUAAACAAAAUGCAAAAUUACUAUGGAAUUGCUAUUCGACAAAGAAUUGGCUCAUUAUAUGCUAUGAAAAAAUCAGUGCUAGCUAUUUUGUAGCAUUGCAGCAACAUUCCUAACACUGUUGAAAGGCACCAAUUUUGUCCCCGCAGUUUAUGUAGUGGGAGAGGGAUCUAAAUACUUGUCAAAAACAUAUAAGCCCUGUACUAGUUUGCCUCUUAUUAUAAAAAGGAUAGUGCAACCAAUUUUUAUUGAUUUUAGUGCAGACUAUUUGUUGUUGAAAUACUACAGCCCAAAAUCCUAACGAAACUUUUAACCAAAUUAUAUGGAAAAAAUAUCCAAAGAACAAUUUUGUUUCAAGACAAACAAUAGAAAAUUGUGUAGCAUCAGCUGUUUUAAAAUACAAUGAUGGAUUAUUAGGAUAUGAAAAUUUAUUUAAAUGUCUGAAUAUUUUGUUUGGAAAAGAUAGCGUUAAGGAGCUCACGAUAUGAACCAUUCAAAAAAAAAUGAACAAAAAAAGUAAGGUACCUCAAAUUAGUCAGAAGAAAAAAUUGAGAACUUUAAAAAAAUUUACAAGCUUUCAUAACCAACGAAAAAGAAACUGAUGAUUCAGAGUCAUAUUCUGCAGGAAAUUAUUAAAUACUAAAUUUCUUUUGCAUUUUUCUUCAUUUUUUAUUUUUUCGAAUAUAGAAAUCUUAGAAAAAAUAUAAAUAUAUAUUACGUAUUUUGAAUUUUAAUUUAGUAUGUCUAAAUCAAAAGAGUUUGUCUCAAUCGCUCUGAUGAGAGAGGUACUAAAUAUUCAAAAAGAAACAGUUUUAUCUUUUUUUCGCGAAUCGCUAUUGAACAUAAAUAAAAAGUUUGUUAAUUUUCAAUCAAGUUUUAAAGACAACGAGUCUUGUAAUGAAAUGAAAGCUUAAACUUUAUUGGCGAUGUUAUUAAUGAUAAAGCUAAAGCAGUUGAAGAAAAAAUUAAUAAAGUUCACGAUGAUUUAACAAAUGUACGAAGAAUGCAGGGUAAAAUAUCUUGUGACAAUAUCGAAUUAAAAUUAAAAAGUGUGGCUAUUGAAGACCGUAACAGAAGAAACAAUUUAAGAAUUGACGGUAUUGUAGAAAAUAACGAAGUAAAGGAUUGGCAAAUUACAAAAAAAAAAAAAGGUAAAACAACUAUUUAAAGAUAACCUUGGUAUUGAAAAAGAUAUUAUUAUUGAACGGGCUCAUUGAAUGGGAAUAGCUAAGGAAAAACAAGAGCGAACAAUAGUCUUAAAGCUCCGUGAUUACGAUGACAAAAAACAAUCAUGGAAAGAACAAUAAAGUUAAAAAGAACCAACAUUUUUCUAAACAAAGAUUUUAGUUUCACUACGCGAAAAAUGGUUAUUACGCAAAAGUUGUUUUCAACAAACUUAUUGUUCAUGAAUUUCGAGAACCCGCUACACAGAUGUUAAUUCGACAAGCGUAAACGAGUAUUUUUUUUUUUUUUUUGAAUAUUUUUUUUUAUUAUUAUAUUAAAUAUUUUUAAAUUAUUAAUUAAAAAUUUAAAAAAAUAGCGCCUUUUGCAAAAUUUUGAUAAACUUAAAUAAUUUUAAAAUAUUUUAAACACGUUCGAUGUCAUAUCUCUUUCAGAAACCCAUGAUACAGAAAGUUCUCUUGAAUUAAAUUCUAAUUAUAUUUUACCAUUUUACAAACUAAUUAGUCAACGACGAGAAAGUGGGGAAAAAAGGAGGAGGUUUAGGAAUUUAUGUCUUAGACAAGUAUGUAUUUAAAAUAAAAACAUGAUAUGUUUUUCAAAUAAAAAUUAUGAAAGUCUCUUGAAA
This is a long non-coding RNA of Hydra vulgaris (swiftwater hydra), 3109 nucleotides long. RefSeq lists it as uncharacterized. The record is from RefSeq and is a predicted model, not a curated record. NCBI's taxonomy places the organism in Eukaryota, Metazoa, Cnidaria, Hydrozoa, Anthoathecata, Hydridae.